This 1236-nucleotide ribosomal RNA is filed under the name metagenome. Its description in RNAcentral is "bacterial LSU rRNA". It matches the Rfam family "Bacterial large subunit ribosomal RNA", at positions 1564 to 2808 of the family's 2925-position model. The record is from RNAcentral.
UGAGUACGAGAUGCUACGGCAUCGAAGCAGUCUAUGUCAUACUUCCAAGAAAAGCUUGCAAUGUCAUAAACAAAUAAUGCCUGUACCAUAACCGACACAGGUGGGUAGGUAGAGUAUACUAAGGGGCGCGAGAUAACUCUCUCUAAGGAACUCGGCAAAAUGACUCCGUAACUUCGGGAGAAGGAGUGCCUUAUUUUUAUAAGGUUGCAAUAACAAGAUCCAAGCAACUGUUUACCAAAAACACAGGUCUCCGCUAAGUCGUAAGACGAUGUAUGGGGGCUGACGCCUGCCCAGUGCCAGAAGGUUAAAGAAGUUGGUUAGCAUUAGCGAAGCUGAUAACUGAAGCCCUGGUGAACGGCGGCCGUAACAAUAACGGUCCUAAGGUAGCGAAAUUCCUUGUCGGGUAAGUUCCGACCCGCACGAAAGGCGUAAUGAUUUGGAUACUGUCUCGGAGAGGGGCUCGGUGAAAUAGACUUGUCUGUGAAGAUGCGGACUACCUGCACCUGGACAGAAAGACCCUAUGAAGCUUUACUGUAACUUGAGAUUGAAAUUGGACUUUAUCUGCGCAGUAUAGGUGGGAGACGUUGAAAAUAUUCUUGCGGGAAUAUUGGAGUCAUCAGUGAGAUACCACUCUUAUAAUGUUAGAUUUCUAACUUUGUAUCAUUAUCUGGUCAAAGAACAGUUUCAGGCGGGCAGUUUGACUGGGGCGGUCGCCUCCCAAACGGUAACGGAGGCGCACAAAGGUUUCCUCUGAACGUGUAGAAAUCGUAUCUAGAGUGUAAAGGCAUAAGGAAGCUUGACUGUGAGACCUACAAGUCGAGCAGGGACGAAAGUCGGUCUUAGUGAUCUGACGGUACUGAGUGGAAAGGCCGUCACUCAACGGAUAAAAGUUACUCUAGGAUAACAGGCUGAUCUCCCCCAAGAGUUCACAUCGACGGGGAGGUUUGGCACCUCGAUGUCGGCUCAUCGCAUCCUGGGGCGGUAGUACGUCCCAAGGGUUGGGCUGUUCGCCCAUGAAAGCGGUACGCGAGCUGGGUUCAGAACGUCGUGAGACAGUUCGGUCCAUAUCCGGUGUAGGCGUUAGAAUAUUGAGAGGAGCCUUCUUUAGUACGAGAGGACCGAGAAGGACAUACCUCUGGUGUACCAGUUAUCGUGCCAACGGUAAACGCUGGGUAGCCAUGUAUGGAGAGGAUAACCGCUGAAAGCAUCUAAGUGGGAAGCCCACCUCAAGAUAAG